RNAcentral lists this ribosomal RNA (513 nucleotides) under uncultured Holophaga sp. RNAcentral's name for it is "bacterial SSU rRNA". It matches the Rfam family "Bacterial small subunit ribosomal RNA", at positions 75 to 562 of the family's 1533-position model. The record is from RNAcentral. Lineage: Bacteria; Pseudomonadati; Acidobacteriota; Holophagae; Holophagales; Holophagaceae.
UUUCUUCGGGGGUACACGAGCGGCGAACGGGUGAGUAUCGCGCGGGUAACCUACCCAGAGGUAGGGGAUAGCCUCGGGAAACCGGGGGUAAUACGGUAUAAGUCUUCGUUGACGCAAGUCGACGAUGGGAAAGGCGGGGAUCCUUCGGGACCUGUCGUCUCUGGAUGGGCCCAGCGUCCGAUUAGCUUGUUGGUGGGGUAAUGGCCCACCAAGGCUGCGAUCGGUAGCCGGCCUGAGAGCGUGAACGCCCACAUUGGCACUGAGACACGGCCCAGACUCCUACGGGAGGCAGCAGUGGGGAAUUAUGGGCAAUGGGCAAAACCCUGACCCAGCGACGCCGCGUGGAGGAUGAAGGCCUUCGGGUUGUAAACUCCUGUCAGGUGGGAAGAAAUGCCUACCGGUUAAAUAGCCGGCAGGAGCUGACGGUACCACCAAAGGAAGCCCCGGCUAACUCCGUGCCAGCAGCCGCGGUAAUACGGAGGGGGCAAGCGUUAUUCGGAUUUACUGGGCGUA